Molecule: microRNA, 22 nt
Filed under: Dasypus novemcinctus (nine-banded armadillo)
Lineage: Eukaryota; Metazoa; Chordata; Mammalia; Cingulata; Dasypodidae
Description: dno-miR-487b-5p
Gene: dno-miR-487b-5p
Source: miRBase by way of RNAcentral
GUGGUUAUCCCUGUCCCGUUCG